Molecule: non-coding RNA, 1793 nt
Organism: Nicotiana tabacum (common tobacco)
Lineage: Eukaryota; Viridiplantae; Streptophyta; Magnoliopsida; Solanales; Solanaceae
Source: RefSeq, a predicted model, not a curated record
UCAUGCUAACUGAGCAUCAGCGGCGAACGUCUCAAGUUAGUUCGACUUCUGUCUUUGACGAUUAGGACGCACUAGUUUGAAGUUGACUUUCUCCUUCUUUUUUUUUUGCUUUUUAUUGAUCGCUCUUGUAGGUCAAACGUAGAAGGAUAUGUUCUUGUUUGGCAAGACGAUCCAUCUAUGACGAAGGAAAUCAUAGGGUCGAGCUGGACUGAAUUAAUUUAGUAUUUUGGUUUUGGUUUUUUCGAUAUUUCGGUAUAAUUCGAUAUUAAAUUUUCGGUAUAACGGUACGGUCCUCGAUAUUAAGAUCUUGAAAUUUCGGUAUACCGAAAUACCGAAUUUUUAAAGAAUUUCAUAUGCUUCCUACACUGCCCUAGCCCAACCCAAAAUUUUAAUGUUUGUAUCUCUACUCUCUAAUCCAAUAAGACUAGGCCCAACUUCCUUACUCUUUUUCCCUAGUUUCACUAUAAGAAUUAGUAAUUAGAAUUAGGUUUCCCUAGUGAAUACUGAAGUACUGAACAGAUCGGCUGUGAUAACUGAGAAACCUAAUUAGAUCUGUGACUAUGGUCUGGCCGUCUGGGAGUGCGAUAGAGACAACGUCACGACGACUUUAUGACCUCGACGCCGACGACUCUCAAGUGUGACUGCUAGUUUCCUCAUUUUUUACCUUCAUUCUUCAAUCUUCAACUCUUCAACAGAUGGCAGAUGAAAGUAGAGUAAGUGAUUCCGGUUUAACAGAGGAUGAGCAUUUGAGAAAAAUGCUGAGCAGAUGCAAGAAAAGUUCAAGAAGUAUUGGGGUGAGCCUGAAAAGUUGAAUAAAAUAAAUUUCAUUGCUUCCGUCUUGGAUCCACGUAACAAAUUUGAAUAUGCUAGCCUUGAACUUGAAGAACUUUUUGGGGAGGAAAAAGGGAAGAAAAUAAAUGUUGAGGUGUAUGCUUAUAUGAAUUCUUUGUUUGAAGAGUAUCUAAAAAGUAUUCAACUGGGUCUUGUCCUCAAUCUCCAUCUAGUUUUACUUCAUCUAAUAACACAUCUAAUAUAUCUAGUAGGAGUGUUAUAACUGCAUCAUUAAUAAAGACGAAGCUUUACUUGAAGAAACAAAAGGAAGACAAUGGAAGUGGGGGUGCAAAAUCAGAGUAGGAUAAAUACAUUAGUAAAGAACAAGAGCCUUUUAGUGAAGAAUUUGAUAUCUUAAGUUGGUGGAAAACACAUGCUCCUAGAUUUUCUAUUCUUUCGGAGUUGGCUCGUGAUAUGUUAGCCAUUCCAAUUUCUAGUGUGGCGUCGGAAUGUGCAUUUAGCACCGGUGGCCGUAUUCUUGAUUUAUUUAGGAGUUCAUUGACUCCUAAACGUGUGCAAGCUCUUGUUUGUGUUCAAGAUUGGCUUAGAGAAGAGAAGAAUCCUAUUAGUGUUGAAGAAAACUGGGAGUAUCUUGAGGAACUCGAGCUUGGUUCAAGUGCAAUCAUGCCCCGUGCUCCUAAGUACGCUCUCAUAUUUGGGAACACUUUGAGGUGAUAGAAGAUAACAGAGAAGUUCGCAAAGUAGAGUGUAAGCAUUGUGGUCGAGUCUAUAAUGUUCAUCCAAAGAGGGAUGGCACAUAUUGUUUAAGAAAGCAUAUUAGGCGUUGUCUUGAGCGUCUUCCUGAAAUUUGAAUUUAAGAAUUAAGACUAAGUUGAUUCGAGACUAUUAGUGUAAACUUGAAUUGAAGGAUGCCCCUUAUGUUUUUGUUGCACUAUGUUUAAUUCUGCUACUACUUGUUAGUGGUUGUUACUAUCUUAGCUUGCUGUGAUAUUUAUUUACUC